RNAcentral lists this ribosomal RNA (253 nucleotides) under uncultured bacterium. RNAcentral's name for it is "partial 16S ribosomal RNA". It matches the Rfam family "Bacterial small subunit ribosomal RNA", at positions 524 to 776 of the family's 1533-position model. The record is from RNAcentral.
UACGUAGGUGGCAAGCGUUAUCCGGAAUUAUUGGGCGUAAAGCGCGCGCAGGUGGUUUCUUAAGUCUGAUGUGAAAGCCCACGGCUCAACCGUGGAGGGUCAUUGGAAACUGGGAGACUUGAGUGCAGAAGAGGAAAGUGGAAUUCCAUGUGUAGUGGUGAAAUGCGUAGAUAUCGGGAGGAACACCAGUGGCGAAGGCGACUACCUGGCCUGUUCUUGACGCUGAGGCGCGAAAGCUAGGGGAGCAAACGGG